RNAcentral lists this ribosomal RNA (468 nucleotides) under uncultured bacterium. RNAcentral describes it as "partial 16S ribosomal RNA". It matches the Rfam family "Bacterial small subunit ribosomal RNA", at positions 28 to 507 of the family's 1533-position model. The record is from RNAcentral.
GACGAACGCUGGCGGCGUGCUUAACACAUGCAAGUCGAACGGAAAGGCCCUGCUUUUGUGGGGUGCUCGAGUGGCGAACGGGUGAGUAACACGUGAGUAACCUGCCCUUGACUUUGGGAUAACUUCAGGAAACUGGGGCUAAUACCGGAUAGGAGCUCCUGCUGCAUGGUGGGGGUUGGAAAGUUUCGGCGGUUGGGGAUGGACUCGCGGCUUAUCAGCUUGUUGGUGGGGUAGUGGCUUACCAAGGCUUUGACGGGUAGCCGGCCCGAGAGGGUGACCGGCCACAUGGGGCCUGCGAGACGGCGCAGACUCGUACGGGAGGCAGCAGGGGGGAAUAUUGCACAAUGGGCCGAAGCCUGAUGCAGAGACGCCGCGUGCGGGAUGACGGCCUGCGGGUUGUAAACCGCUUUCGCCUGUGACGAAGCGUGAGUGACGGUAAUGGGUAAAGAAGCACCGGCUAACUACGUG